CGGUAAUACGUAGGGUGCAAGCGUUAAUCGGAAUUACUGGGCGUAAAGCGUGCGCAGGCUUGGUUGUAAGUCUGAUACAGGGCUUUCGGGCUCAACCUGGGAAUUGCAUUGGAGACUGCAAGGCUAGAAUCUGGCAGAGGGGGGUAGAAUUCCACGUGUAGCAGUGAAAUGCGUGAGAGUGUGGAGGAACACCGAUGGCGAAGGCAGCCCCCUGGGUCAAGAUUGACGCUCAUGCACGAAAGCGUGGGGAGCAAACAGGAUUAGAUACCCUGGUAGUCCACGCCCUAAACGAUGUCUACUAGUUGUCGGGUUUUAAUUAACUUGGUAACGCAGCUAACGCGUGAAGUAGACCGCCUGGGGAGUACGGUCGCAAGAUUAAA
Molecule: ribosomal RNA, 380 nt
Filed under: uncultured bacterium
Lineage: Bacteria
Description: bacterial SSU rRNA
Rfam family: Bacterial small subunit ribosomal RNA
Source: RNAcentral